Molecule: long non-coding RNA, 1912 nt
Organism: Danaus plexippus (monarch butterfly)
Lineage: Eukaryota; Metazoa; Arthropoda; Insecta; Lepidoptera; Nymphalidae
Exons: 2
Source: RefSeq, a predicted model, not a curated record
GACCGAACAUUUGCUACUAAAAAAACAAGGGAUACGAUUAAAAUUACUAACAAGAUCAUAUUAAUUUUAUCAUCUUUUGAUCCCGGUGAUAGUGUGUGUGUUCGGGAUUGAUUCAAACGCAUCUUUACGGCUGUAAAUACGUACCAAAUCAGUAACUACGACAUUCGAAUUGAAGUCUUUUAAAGGAGUGAGCUAGAAAGUGUGCAGACGAUUGGUUAGUUGCAACAUCUACACAAGAGGCAUUACGUGAGACCAUAGCUAACAUUUGUUAUUAUCCUUUGAGCUAACCUCGUGUCCAUGAUGUAUUCUCAAGAGAACCAUGAGAUUCUGUAGGGAAGGCUUGUGGUACCGUGACAAGACAAUUAUACACCACCGAUCUGGAGAGCGUGACCUCUGAGCUAAUCACGUGUUACCCUUGAGCUAACCACGGGUCCUUGAUGUAUCCAUAAGAGAACCAUGAGAUUCCGUAGGGAUGCCUUGUGGAGCCGUGAGAAGACAAGUCUACACCACAGAUGUGGAGAGCGUACCUCUGAACUAAUCGCGUGUUACUCUUGAGCCAACCACAGGUCCUUGCUGUAUCCUUAAGAAUACCAUGAGAUGACGUAGGGAGGCCUUGGGAAGACUUGAGUAGAAAGGUACUCACUCGAUCUAUAAGAACUUGCAUGAUUUUAAUAUCAAACUACUAAGACCAUUGCUUCAUUUAAAUACGACAAUAGACAUACUCUUCACAGUAAUAUUUGCAACAUGUCUGGUUAACACACGGCAUUGCCUCUACAAAAAGGAUGCUGUAAUUCAAACGAAAGCAUACUCGACUCCAAAAUCCUGAUAAAAUACAUCGAUUGCGAAUAUAACUAAUUUCUGUUAAUUUUGUGCUAACCGUGAUCAUGCGUUUGAAUCGUGUUUCCGACGAGAAAAAGAAGAUGACGCCGAAUUUCAAUUCAAUAUCGACUGUUCCAGGUUUUGAAACGACUACUAAUAUAUUAACCGGAGCAGAUUUAUUACGUGAUAAGAAUACAUGUGGAAAAUUUAGUAUCCUUGCCGAUGUUUUGCACAUACGAACAAGUCAAUUAUGCUUUGACAGUUUAGAUUACAAUUCAACAAUCAGUCCGUUUAAAUCGAAGUAAUGCACCAACACAUUCAAAACAGGAUGGUCGAGGCGGAGAGAAGAUACAAAGCUAGGUUUUUGAGAGGUCGAGCUACGAUUAAAAGAUUCCAGAAGGGAGAUAUUGUAAUAAUAAAAAUAUAACCCCAGAAAUCGGAUAUCCCUAUAUUUAAAAUUUUGUGAACUAUACAAAAUCCAGAAAAUAAUUGAGAAUGAUUAAUAUCUUGUAAAGUGAUUUUAGACCGUGGAUGACUUCGAAAUGUGGCACAUGACCAGCUACGAAUGUGGCACAUGACCAGCUACGAUGAGACUUCACAGCAUCUGAGGGACGACACAGAAUUACUAAGCAAGCAGUUAGGUGGACGGUUCGCCUACCUAAUAGUUAUCCGAAAACAAUGCAGAGCACGCAUCAGUAUAACCGUAUCGGCAUGACUUCGGACGAUGAAGCAUCAAUUCUUGAACCUGGCCCAUACUCUACGAGACCUGCAACGGGUACGAGAACAUAACGAAAGCUAAGCAAGAGAGAACACAUCACCAGGCAGGUGCAGAGCACGCACCGCCUGCCAGAAUGGCCGUAUUCGCGCAAGCAGCUUCAAUGACGGAUGCAACAUGGAAAUAACUGGCACCAAUUAUUAUAACACCUUAUUGGUCGUCGUUACUAUUGUUAAAAGUAAAACGAAAUCAAAGAGAAUAGAACUAUGUUUGAAUUCUGGUUUAAAUAUGACGUCUGGACGCACGACAGGGGACUGCAGAGUUCAGCGAGUGCGGAGCAUAAAGAACCUUCGAGAAAUACAAGAACAUUUAGAAGAA